Molecule: ribosomal RNA, 883 nt
Filed under: uncultured bacterium
Lineage: Bacteria
Description: bacterial SSU rRNA
Rfam family: Bacterial small subunit ribosomal RNA
Source: RNAcentral
AGCUCGUAGGCGGUUUGUCGCGUCUGCCGUGAAAGUCCGGGGCUCAACUCCGGAUCUGCGGUGGGUACGGGCAGACUAGAGUGAUGUAGGGGAGACUGGAAUUCCUGGUGUAGCGGUGAAAUGCGCAGAUAUCAGGAGGAACACCGAUGGCGAAGGCAGGUCUCUGGGCAUUAACUGACGCUGAGGAGCGAAAGCAUGGGGAGCGAACAGGAUUAGAUACCCUGGUAGUCCAUGCCGUAAACGUUGGGCACUAGGUGUGGGGGACAUUCCACGUUUUCCGCGCCGUAGCUAACGCAUUAAGUGCCCCGCCUGGGGAGUACGGCCGCAAGGCUAAAACUCAAAGGAAUUGACGGGGGCCCGCACAAGCGGCGGAGCAUGCGGAUUAAUUCGAUGCAACGCGAAGAACCUUACCAAGGCUUGACAUGGGCCGGACCGGGCUGGAAACAGUCCUUCCCCUUUGGGGCCGGUUCACAGGUGGUGCAUGGUUGUCGUCAGCUCGUGUCGUGAGAUGUUGGGUUAAGUCCCGCAACGAGCGCAACCCUCGUUCCAUGUUGCCAGCGCGUAAUGGCGGGGACUCAUGGGAGACUGCCGGGGUCAACUCGGAGGAAGGUGGGGACGACGUCAAAUCAUCAUGCCCCUUAUGUCUUGGGCUUCACGCAUGCUACAAUGGCCGGUACAAAGGGUUGCGAUACUGUGAGGUGGAGCUAAUCCCAAAAAGCCGGUCUCAGUUCGGAUUGGGGUCUGCAACUCGACCCCAUGAAGUCGGAGUCGCUAGUAAUCGCAGAUCAGCAACGCUGCGGUGAAUACGUUCCCGGGCCUUGUACACACCGCCCGUCAAGUCACGAAAGUUGGUAACACCCGAAGCCGGUGGCCUAACCCCUUG